Molecule: transfer RNA, 82 nt
Filed under: Salmonella enterica
Lineage: Bacteria; Pseudomonadati; Pseudomonadota; Gammaproteobacteria; Enterobacterales; Enterobacteriaceae
Description: tRNA-Trp
Source: RNAcentral
GGAGUUCUUACGCCACGACCGCAGGGCGAACACUGGUCUCCAAAACCAGACGCAGAGGGUUCGAUUUCUUCCGGGACUGCCA